This 492-nucleotide ribosomal RNA is filed under the name uncultured bacterium. RNAcentral's name for it is "partial 16S ribosomal RNA". It matches the Rfam family "Bacterial small subunit ribosomal RNA", at positions 29 to 507 of the family's 1533-position model. The record is from RNAcentral.
AGUGAACGCUGGCGGCGGGCCUAAUACAUGCAAGUCGAGCGGAAAGACAGGGAGCUUUUUCCCUUGAGGGUGGCGGGGGGCGGGCGGGUGAGACAUGGAUAACCUUCCUCUAAUUCGGGGGGAAUUUCGGGGAAACGGUUACGAUACUCGAGAAUAUAAUGUACGGGUGGGAGCAAUAGUUCAACGCGGUUUUUGUGUUUGCUUGAGACGGUGCCGGAUUAGCUAGUUGGGGAGGUAACGGCCUACCAAGGCGACGAUCCGUAGCCGAUCUGAGAGGGUGAUCGGCCACACUGGAACUGAGACACGGUCCAGACUCCUACGGGAGGCAGCAGUAGGGAAUCUUCCGCAAUGGGCGAAAGCCUGACGGAGCAACGCCGCGUGAGUGAUGAAGGUCUUCGGAUCGUAAAACUCUGUUAUUAGGGAAGAACAAAUGUGUAAGUAACUAUGCACGUCUUGACGGUACCUAAUCAGAAAGCCACGGCUAACUACGUG